AUUGAACGCUGGCGGCAGGCCUAACACAUGCAAGUCGAACGGUAACAGGGAUCAGCUUGCUGAUUCGCUGACGAGUGGCGGACGGGUGAGUAAUGUCUGGGAAACUGCCUGAUGGAGGGGGAUAACUACUGGAAACGGUAGCUAAUACCGCAUAACGUCGCAAGACCAAAGAGGGGGACCUUCGGGCCUCUUGCCAUCGGAUGUGCCCAGAUGGGAUUAGCUAGUAGGUGGGGUAACGGCUCACCUAGGCGACGAUCCCUAGCUGGUCUGAGAGGAUGACCACCCACACUGGAACGGAGACACGACCCACACCCCUACGGGAGGCACGAGGGGGGAAUAUGGAAAAAUGGGCGAAAGCCGGAUGCAGCCAUGCGGCGUGUAGGAAGAGGGCCUUCGGGUGGUAAAGAACUUUCGGGGGGGAGGAAGGGAGAAAAUUUAAAACUUUGGCUUAUGGAGUUUCCCCGAAAAAGAAGCCCCGGCAACCCCCGUG
RNAcentral lists this ribosomal RNA (490 nucleotides) under uncultured bacterium. Its description in RNAcentral is "partial 16S ribosomal RNA". It matches the Rfam family "Bacterial small subunit ribosomal RNA", at positions 29 to 507 of the family's 1533-position model. The record is from RNAcentral.